RNAcentral lists this long non-coding RNA (453 nucleotides) under Equus caballus (horse). Its description in RNAcentral is "lncRNA (ENSECAG00000050352.1)". The record is from RNAcentral. Lineage: Eukaryota; Metazoa; Chordata; Mammalia; Perissodactyla; Equidae.
AAAACAGCAAAGAUUCUGACAGGAUGAUUUUAGAAAACAGUGUUGUCCAGCACCAUAUCCUCAGUGUGAUUAACAAAAGUCAUUUGUUCAGACUCACAUCGCAUAUCCCUGUCCCGUCACAGGGAGCACCUAAAAGUCCACAAAACCCAGCACCCGGAUCUUGGUUUCUAAUAUCAUCCUCUAACAAAGGGAACCAGAGCUUCUUGGAGAAAUGGCUGAUUCCAGAGUUGGGGCAGGACAUGGGCAAGAGGAACCUGGAGCAUCUUGUAGUGCUAGACAGACAUCUUUCCAAGGUUCCAUCUGCUGGAUGACCUUAAACUUGGCACACGGAUUUGUAACCCUCCUUCCUUGCUGACACAGAUGCAGCGUGCCUCCUGUCUUGCCAAGAGUGAUCUCACUGGCCCCGGGACAAAGCAAACGGGCAAAAGGGACACAGUAAGAGGGCUCUCCGGG